Molecule: transfer RNA, 68 nt
Filed under: Marmota monax (woodchuck)
Lineage: Eukaryota; Metazoa; Chordata; Mammalia; Rodentia; Sciuridae
Description: tRNA.Ala
Source: RNAcentral
GUGGUGGCUCAGUGGUAGAGCGCUUGCCUAGCAUGUGUGAGGCCCUGGGUUCAAUCCGCAGCGCCACA